Long non-coding RNA from Anguilla anguilla (European eel), 632 nucleotides. RefSeq lists it as uncharacterized. Lineage: Eukaryota; Metazoa; Chordata; Actinopteri; Anguilliformes; Anguillidae. The record is from RefSeq and is a predicted model, not a curated record. The transcript is spliced from 4 exons.
UUGGGAGGAGGGACACGACCCCCAGUGAAAUAUGUAGGCUACUGUUUAAGUCAAUGUAAUGGUAUGCGCAUAGUAGACGCGCGCACACGCACCCAUGGCUACCUGCGCCUGUCCAAGUCACGGGACUUCGGUUGAAUCCGGUUGGCCAAACGGAAUUCAACGGCUCAACUGUAGGGGAUCCCACUGUCUCCCGGUGCUGCCCAGCCCAGGGCUGCUCAUUACUCUCGUGGCCCGGUGGUGCCGGCUCGGCUCGGCUCGGCUCGGCUCGGCUCGGUACCGUCUGACCUGAGCGCGGGACCCACGGAGCGGGGGCCGCAGACACGCCCGCUGGCGCUGGCGUCUGAGCAGGGGCUGAUGGGAACCUUGCGUUGGAACCUGUAGCUGUCAGUCUGGAGCUCUGCUUGGUUGAAGGCCUGGAUCCUGGAGUGGUCGGAGUUCUCCUGGGAAUAUGCGUGGCUUCCUGAUUGUGAUUUCCCAGUCCUGGUCCUUCCUGUUCCUUCCUUCCUGUUUAAUCCUGCCUGCAUGUCUGUUGAGAUGACAGAGCCAGCCAUUCAACAUCUUGGUGACGGUCCCGUCCGCCCAGUGCAUGUCAUCCCAUGUGGUGUGGACCUCUGGGGGGGGGGGGGUUGGUU